AGAGAUAAAAAGUAUGUUAUCUUACUCUGAGAUGAUAUAUUGAUCGAUCCAUCCUUCGUGUUUUUUUCUCCUUGUAGCUGUUACUGAUAUUGACACCAGUGGUAUCCAUGCCUUGGAAGAGUUGCAUAGAAGCCUAAUAAAGAGAAAUGUUCAGGUAAAUCAUCUUUUACAUAUGUGAAAAACUACGAAUAUUUCAACUAACGUGUCUGUAACACGUCCAGUUUAAAUUCUGGAUCUGCCUCUGUAAUACAUAUAUGACUCGGAAUCUUACCUUCGUUACAGCUUGUUCUGUCGAACCCCGGGAGAGUAGUGAUUGACAAGCUACAUGCAUCCAAAUUUCCAGAUCAAAUUGGUGAGGACAAGAUAUUUCUCACAGUUGCUGAUGCUGUGCUAACAUGUUCAUUAAAAUUGC
This 412-nucleotide long non-coding RNA is filed under the name Solanum lycopersicum (tomato). Its description in RNAcentral is "long non-coding RNA (SLYC_LNC001074)". Lineage: Eukaryota; Viridiplantae; Streptophyta; Magnoliopsida; Solanales; Solanaceae. The record is from RNAcentral.